This 432-nucleotide ribosomal RNA is filed under the name uncultured bacterium. RNAcentral's name for it is "partial 16S ribosomal RNA". It matches the Rfam family "Bacterial small subunit ribosomal RNA", at positions 29 to 507 of the family's 1533-position model. The record is from RNAcentral.
AACGAACGCUGGCGGCAUGCCUAACACAUGCAAGUCGAACGAGACCUUCGGGUCUAGUGGCGCACGGGUGCGUAACGCGUGGGAACCUGCCCUUAGGUUCGGAAUAACUCCCCGAAAGGGGUGCUAAUACCGGAUAAUGUCUUCGGACCAAAGAUUUAUCGCCUUUGGAUGGGCCCGCGUUGGAUUAGCUAGUUGGUAGGGUAAAAGCCUACCAAGGCGACGAUCCAUAGCUGGUCUGAGAGGAGGAUCAGCCACACUGGGACUGAGACACGGCCAGACUCCUACGGGAGGCAGCAGUGGGGAAUAUUGGACAAUGGGCGAAAGCCUGAUCCAGCAAUGCCGCGUGAGUGAUGAAGGCCUUAGGGUUGUAAAGCUCUUUUACCCGGGAUGAUAAUGACAGUACCGGGAGAAUAAGCUCCGGCUAACUCCGUG